This 341-nucleotide long non-coding RNA is filed under the name Aquila chrysaetos chrysaetos. Its description in RNAcentral is "lncRNA (ENSACCG00020012953.1)". The record is from RNAcentral. Lineage: Eukaryota; Metazoa; Chordata; Aves; Accipitriformes; Accipitridae.
GGGCUUUUCCAGCUUCUCGUCUGGGUCCUGCGCUGGAGCUCACCUGGCAUCCCAGGGGUCCUCAAAGAGCAAAGUAUAAAGCUAAAGCUGAAAUAGGAGAAUCUUCCCAGCGGUCACCAGAAGUCCUAAAGGAAAUCCUGGAGGAAUUGGACAAAGCAGCACGUGAGAUGGACCGCGAGACUGUGGAGAAGGAGGCGUUUCAGGAAGGAGAUAGUCACGCAGCGCCAGUCUCUGAUGAAAAAACAGGGGCAAUUCAAUCAACAGGCGUGCCAGUGGCAGUGCUGUCCAGCCCUGGAGAAGCCCACCACGCCAGGAGAUAUGAAUUUUCUCCAAAGAAUGCA